AUUGAACGCUGGCGGCAUGCCUUACACAUGCAAGUCGAACGGCAGCACGGGAGCAAUCCUGGUGGCGAGUGGCGAACGGGUGAGUAAUACAUCGGAACGUGCCCAGUAGUGGGGGAUAGCCCGGCGAAAGCCGGAUUAAUACCGCAUACGACCUGAGGGUGAAAGCGGGGGAUCGCAAGACCUCGCGCUAUUGGAGCGGCCGAUGUCAGAUUAGCUAGUUGGGGGGUAAAGGCCUACCAAGGCUACGAUCUGUAGUUGGUCUGAGAGGACGACCAGCCACACUGGGACUGAGACACGGCCCAGACUCCUACGGGAGGCAGCAGUGGGGAAUUUUGGACAAUGGGGGCAACCCUGAUCCAGCAAUGCCGCGUGC
RNAcentral lists this ribosomal RNA (373 nucleotides) under uncultured bacterium. Its description in RNAcentral is "bacterial SSU rRNA". It matches the Rfam family "Bacterial small subunit ribosomal RNA", at positions 29 to 404 of the family's 1533-position model. The record is from RNAcentral.